GCAGACGUGGCGAAAUUGGUAGACGCGCGAGAUUUAGGUUCUCGUGUUUUAAACUUGAGAGUUCGAGUCUCUCUGUCUGUA
Molecule: transfer RNA, 81 nt
Filed under: Eutreptia viridis
Lineage: Eukaryota; Euglenozoa; Euglenophyceae; Eutreptiales; Eutreptiaceae
Description: tRNA-Leu
Rfam family: tRNA
About the family: Transfer RNA (tRNA) molecules are approximately 80 nucleotides in length. Their secondary structure includes four short double-helical elements and three loops (D, anti-codon, and T loops).
Source: RNAcentral